UGGGAACGUGCCUUUUGGUUCGGAACAACACAGGGAAACUUGUGCUAAUACCGGAUAAGCCCUUACGGGGAAAGGUUUAUCGCCGAAAGAUCGGCCCGCGUCUGAUUAGCUAGUUGGUGAGGUAACGGCUCACCAAGGCGACGAUCAGUAGCUGGUCUGAGAGGAUGAUCAGCCACACUGGGACUGAGACACGGCCCAGACUCCUACGGGAGGCAG
Molecule: ribosomal RNA, 216 nt
Filed under: uncultured bacterium
Lineage: Bacteria
Description: partial 16S ribosomal RNA
Rfam family: Bacterial small subunit ribosomal RNA
Source: RNAcentral